GACGUAGGGCGCGAGCGUUGUCCGGAUUUAUUGGGCGUAAAGAGCUCGUAGGCGGCUUGUCGCGUCGUCCGUGAAAACCUGCGGCUCAACUGCAGGCUGGCGGUCGAUACGGGCAGGCUGGAGUUCGGUAGGGGAGACUGGAAUUCCUGGUGUAGCGGUGAAAUGCGCAGAUAUCAGGAGGAACACCAAUAGCGAAGGCAGCUCGCUGGGACGUUACUGACACUGAGGCGCGAAAGCGUGGGGAGCGAACAGG
RNAcentral lists this ribosomal RNA (253 nucleotides) under uncultured bacterium. RNAcentral describes it as "partial 16S ribosomal RNA". It matches the Rfam family "Bacterial small subunit ribosomal RNA", at positions 524 to 776 of the family's 1533-position model. The record is from RNAcentral.